This 23-nucleotide non-coding RNA is filed under the name Rattus norvegicus (Norway rat). The record is from RNAcentral. Lineage: Eukaryota; Metazoa; Chordata; Mammalia; Rodentia; Muridae.
CACAAGAGGUCUGCCUGCCUAGG